UACGUAGGGUGCGAGCGUUAAUCGGAAUUACUGGGCGUAAGGUGUGCGCAGGCGGCUCUGCAGGUCGAGGGUGAAAUCCCCGAGCUUAACUUGGGAAUUGCGCUCGAAACUAUGGAGCUGGAGUGUGGCAGAGGAAGGUGGAAUUCCACGUGUAGCGGUGAAAUGCGUAGAGAUCCGGAGGAACCCCAGAGGCGAAGGCGGCAGCCUGGUUGGUAUCUGACGCUCGGACACGACAGCAUGGGGAGCGAACGGG
This 253-nucleotide ribosomal RNA is filed under the name uncultured bacterium. Its description in RNAcentral is "partial 16S ribosomal RNA". It matches the Rfam family "Bacterial small subunit ribosomal RNA", at positions 524 to 776 of the family's 1533-position model. The record is from RNAcentral.